Molecule: ribosomal RNA, 497 nt
Filed under: uncultured bacterium
Lineage: Bacteria
Description: partial 16S ribosomal RNA
Rfam family: Bacterial small subunit ribosomal RNA
Source: RNAcentral
GAUGAACGCUGGCGGCGUGCCUAAUACAUGCAAGUCGAGCGAACAGACGUGGUACUUGUUCCUAUUACAUUAGCGGCGAACGGGUGAGUAACACGUGGAGAACCUACCUAUAAGCCUGGGACAACUUCGGGAAACCAGUGCUGAUACCGCAUAAUAACUUUAACCACAAGGUUUAAGAGUGAAAGACGGAUUUGCUGCACUCAAUGGUGAGAUCCCGUUCGCAUUAGCUGGUUGGUAAGGUAACGGCCUACAAAGCGAAGGUACCGAGGCCGACUUGAGAGGUUGACCGGCCACACUGGAACUGAGACACGGUCCAGAUUCCUACGGGAGGCAGCAGUAGGGAAUCUUCCGCAAUGGGCGAAAGCUUGCCGGACAAACGCCGCGUGAGUGAUGAAGGUUUUCGGAUCUUAAAACUCUGUUAUUAGGGAAGACCAAAUGUGUAAGUAACUAUGCACGUCUUGACGGUACCUAAUCAGAAAGCCACGGCUAACUACGUG